UACGUAGGUGGCGAGCGUUGUCCGGAUUUACUGGGCGUAAAGGGAGCGUAGGCGGACUUUUAAGUGAGAUGUGAAAUACCCGGGCUCAACUUGGGUGCUGCAUUUCAAACUGGAAGUCUAGAGUGCAGGAGAGGAGAAUGGAAUUCCUAGUGUAGCGGUGAAAUGCGUAGAGAUUAGGAAGAACACCAGUGGCAAAGGCGAUUCUCUGGACUGUAACUGACGCCGAGGCUCGAAAGCGUGGGGAGCAAACAGGAUUAGAUACCCUGGUA
This 269-nucleotide ribosomal RNA is filed under the name uncultured prokaryote. Its description in RNAcentral is "partial 16S ribosomal RNA". It matches the Rfam family "Bacterial small subunit ribosomal RNA", at positions 524 to 792 of the family's 1533-position model. The record is from RNAcentral.